AACACUUAGAUGCAAACUCACUAGCUUCGACUCGAUUAACUAACGGGAUCAUAUAAGAACGAAUAUAUCACACAAACAACAUCAAUUUAAUAGCAGCCAACAACCAGCAACCCAAAAAUAUAAAUUUUAGACAUCACGAUAUCAUUCCGAAUAGAAAGAAGAGGCAAAAGAAUAUUGCGAAGGAUAAGAGGCUACCUUUCUCCGGGCAGCGAACAGAGGAGACGAGCAGG
RNAcentral lists this long non-coding RNA (230 nucleotides) under Solanum tuberosum (potato). Its description in RNAcentral is "long non-coding RNA (STUB_LNC009296)". Lineage: Eukaryota; Viridiplantae; Streptophyta; Magnoliopsida; Solanales; Solanaceae. The record is from RNAcentral.